UCCUAUAUGACUCAGUCAGUAGAGCAUGAGACUCUUGAUCUCAGGGUUGUGGGUUCAAGCCCCACAUUGGGCA
Molecule: non-coding RNA, 73 nt
Organism: Podarcis lilfordi (Lilford's wall lizard)
Lineage: Eukaryota; Metazoa; Chordata; Lepidosauria; Squamata; Lacertidae
Source: the annotation of a GenBank genome assembly